This 165-nucleotide ribosomal RNA is filed under the name Senecio patens. RNAcentral describes it as "5.8S ribosomal RNA". It matches the Rfam family "5.8S ribosomal RNA". Rfam says of the family: 5.8S ribosomal RNA (5.8S rRNA) is a component of the large subunit of the eukaryotic ribosome. Lineage: Eukaryota; Viridiplantae; Streptophyta; Magnoliopsida; Asterales; Asteraceae. The record is from RNAcentral.
AUAAAUGACUCUCGGCAACGGAUAUCUCGGCUCACGCAUCGAUGAAGAACGUAGCAAAAUGCGAUACUUGGUGUGAAUUGCAGAAUCCCGUGAACCAUCGAGUUUUUGAACGCAAGUUGCGCCCGAAGCCUUUUGACUGAGGGCACGUCUGCCUGGGCGUCACAC